AAACAGUUUACUCCUUUUUUCAGGAAUGUUCAGCCCAUUGAUAUUCAAGGAUAUUACAUUGACUUCAGCCAUUGUUAAUCAGGUGUGGAUACGUCAGUCCAGCUUUCUUUAUCGGGCAGUUCCGGGAUAGCAGGAGCCAAUAACUUACAGAUUCGCUGUCGGACUCAUCAGCGGGACUUCUAGCACGCCGUGGCGCCAUCUUGGAUCCCUGACGACACUGUUCAGAGUCUGUCGAUGUGAAGAACUGUUUCAAUAAGCGCUGUGAGUCUUUCGCUUUAACGCUCCUGCAUUCCUCACCAUCAUAUUCUUUAGUUUUACCAUGUUUGCCCAUGAUUCCAAUCCACAGCAGGCGUG
This is a long non-coding RNA of Xenopus laevis (African clawed frog), 354 nucleotides long. RefSeq lists it as uncharacterized. The record is from RefSeq and is a predicted model, not a curated record. Lineage: Eukaryota; Metazoa; Chordata; Amphibia; Anura; Pipidae. The transcript is spliced from 3 exons.